GCUGGGCACGGUGGCGCGUGCCUGUAAUCCCAGCUACUCAGGAGGCUGAGGCAGGAGAAUCGCUUGAACCAGGGAGUCGGAGGUUGCAGUGAGCCGAGAUCACGCCACUGCCUUCCAGCCUGGCAACAGAGGGAGACUCUGUCUCAA
Non-coding RNA from Pan troglodytes (chimpanzee), 147 nucleotides. It matches the Rfam family "Metazoan signal recognition particle RNA". Rfam says of the family: The signal recognition particle (SRP) is a universally conserved ribonucleoprotein. It is involved in the co-translational targeting of proteins to membranes. The record is from Rfam. NCBI's taxonomy places the organism in Eukaryota, Metazoa, Chordata, Mammalia, Primates, Hominidae.